This 113-nucleotide small nuclear RNA is filed under the name Propithecus coquereli (Coquerel's sifaka). The record is from RNAcentral. Lineage: Eukaryota; Metazoa; Chordata; Mammalia; Primates; Indriidae.
GUGCUCACUUCGGCAGCGCAUGUACUGAAAUUGGAAUGAUACAGAGAAGAUUAGCAUGGUCUCUGCACAGGAUGACACACAAAUUCAUGAAAAAAUAUGCUAAACCCAUUUCU